Molecule: long non-coding RNA, 3444 nt
Organism: Dama dama (fallow deer)
Lineage: Eukaryota; Metazoa; Chordata; Mammalia; Artiodactyla; Cervidae
Exons: 5
Source: RefSeq, a predicted model, not a curated record
GGCAACUCAGAGUCUGAGCAACUUACUAUAGCUGGUCAAGCGGCAGAGCCUGGACUGAAAAGGGGAGUCUGAUGCUCCUCCCAUUGCACCAAGCUUCUUCCACGAAUGUCAAGUGCAGCUGGAUGAUGGCAUUCUUCUCAAACUCUAAUCAAGGUGGAGCCAGGGAACCUUGGAGAGAAGCUCAAAUGAAAUGGUGAACUACUGUUACCAACCCUCAGACUGUACUCAAAAUAGUUUUAAAGUUUCCCAGUGCAUGCAUGUGUGCUCAGUCACUCAGUUGUGUCCGACUCUUGCAACCCCAUGGAUUGUAGCCUACCAGGCUCCUCUGUCCAAGGAAUUACCCAUGCAAGAAUACAGGAGUGGGCUGCCAUUUCCUUCUCCAGGGGACCUUCCCGACCUAGAGAUUAAGCCUACAUCUCACGUGUCUCCUGCACUGACAGGCUGAAAGCAUAAAAAAAUUGGAUUAAAAUUAUGAAGCUACUCUGACAUGAUAUAUUAAAGAGCUCUGAAUGAUGCCCAGGGAUGGAGGAGAGAAGAAAAACACUUGAGGUUUCCCUGGUGGUCCGGACGGUAAAGAAUCUGCCUGCAAUUCAGGAGACCCGGGUUUGAUCCCUGGGUUGGGAAGAUCCCCUGGAAAAGGCAAUGGCUACCCACUCCAGUAUUCUUGCCUGGAGAAUUCCAUGGACAGAGGAGCCUGGGGGCUAUAGGCCACGGAGUCACAAAGAGUCACGACAUGACAUGGGGACACGACUGAGCAACUAACACCUUCAAACCUAUGAAAAAAAUCUCACUAGACUGAAUGUAUGGAAAAGGAAUGGGGAGAACACCACUGAGAAGUAUGGAUUAUUUUAAGUGAAAUGCAAUUUUAUUGCAUUCAAGUACAUUUGGCAAGAAGAAGUAGGCUGAAUGCUUGCCUAUGCAUGCUUUGAUGAAUGAAUAAGAAGGCAGUAUAAUUUCCUCAUAAUUCUGUGCUUUUGAUAUUUUUGAAAAAGUUAUGGUAGAACACAAAAUUUUCUCACAGCUAAAACAAAAAAUGAAAACCAUUGGAAAUGUAGUGCUAUUUGUCAGAAAAGAGAAAUACACAAUUUUCUCAACAGGUAUAGCAUUUUUACUGACAUCAAAAUGAAGGUAAAGCUAUUGCUCUUUAUAUACUCAGUGGCCCAAGCUAGUUAAUUAAUUAUCUUUUUUUAUUGAGCGCCUAUGACAUGAUCAGGUACUGUGCUAGGUACUGAGGUUUAUAGACAAAUAAGACAAUGUCUCUGUACUCAAGGAGCUAACAGCUAACACAUAGAAGAUAGUGCAUAAAGAUUUUAUAAAAGUGCAAUUUUAUUCAAAUGGUUGUAUUUUCCUUGUAUAUAUGGGGACACAAUAUUAAAGCUUAAUUAAUGCAUAUUAUUCCUUGUAUAUUUGAGACAGUACUUUCAGGACCACACUUUUAAUCCAGAGCAUAGAGAACUGAGAGCAACAAAAGCUUAACAUAUCUACUCUACUGUCUUUCUCAAGUAUAAAAUACAUGGAAUGAGACUUUGGCCAAUUUUAAUAUUCUUAUGAAACUUUUAAGAGUAUAGUUGGAAUUUGGGCUUUUUCCCCCAAGCCAUGUGGCCAGUCACCAUCUGCUCUUCCUGGAAAUCCAGGGAACUAUUAGAAAGGGUCGAUACUUCCUCCAAUAAGAUCCCUGAAUCUGUUUGAAUCAUUCUGUGUGCACUUAGUUGGUGCUGUUGCCUCAUCUCCCCAAGUUGGAUUCCCAUUUUUUGACUGAACUCCCAAAGCUGGAAAUGGCUGUAUUGAGAAUAAAGUGACUUUGGGACCCAAACAUUUAAUCAGACUGGAAAUAACCACCAUAAUAAAAUCAGUGGUGCCUGAUACCGAGGAGCUUACUAGAAGUCUUUUAGUUAAGGCUAAAAGAUCUAACUUAUGAGUUGUGGUCAACUUGCAUUAGUUUUGACAUUGUGCUUGACACAAAUGGAUGUUGCUUCACACCCUGGCCCUGGUACAUGGAGGGUAAGGAAAAGGAAAAAGGAAAACCACUCCAGAUUGGUAGGUGGUAGUUUUAAUAAGCAAGGGAACUUACACUUGAGGCUUUUCUUGGGCCACAAGGUGAGAAGAUCUCUGCAUCUGCCUGCUAGAAUCUUAAAAAUUUAUAUGGAGGCCUUAAUUGAGCUAUAUCACAAAUACCAUCCAGCUGGUCUCAACAACGCAUUAUUCUCUCAAGGCUGUGUCCUCAAAAAUAAUUCCCAUUGUGUGAACUGUGGGCAGAACUUAACUUGCAUUUUGAGGGCAGGCCAGGGGAGGUGGGGGAGGAGCCUUUGUGAAUGUCCAGCCAGGCGAUCAACCAGUGGUCACAUCCACUCAGUGACUUAAUCUGACAAUGAAAACAGCCAACACUUAUGUAUUUUUAAAAAUUUCCCUCCAUUCUUUAAAGUGUCAGUUUGAUGACUUUGGACAUUUGUGAUACCAUCACUAUAAUCAAGGUCUUAGACAUAUUCAACACCUCAAAGUUUUCUUGUGUCCGUUUGUUCUUGUUUUUGUAUUAAGAACAUUUAACAUGAAAUCUACCUGCUUGAUAAUUUUUGAAGGGCACAAUACUGUAUUUUAAUUAUAGGCACCAUUUUGUAUAGCAGAUCUCUAGAACUUAAACAUCUUACCUACCUGAAACUUUAUAUCCAUUACACAAGAAUGCCCAUUUUCCUCGCCCUCCAGCUCAUGGCAAUCACUACUGUAUUUGUUUCUAUGAGUUUGAAUAUUUUAGAUAGAUACUUUAUAUAAGCAGAAUCAUGUAGUAUUUGUCCUUCUGUGACUGACUUAUUUCACUUAGCAUAAUGUCCUCCAGGUUCAUCCAUGGUGUUGAAAAUGGCAGGAUUUCAUAUUUUUUUAAGGCAGAAUAAUAUUCCACCAUGUGCAUAUGCUAUAUUUUCUUUAUCUAUUGACCCAUAUGCUUGGAUUAUUUUCAUAUCUUGACUGUUGUAAAUAAAGUUGUAAUAAAGAGGAGUGCAAAUAUCUCUUUGAGAACCAGAUUUCAAAUCAUUUGGGUAUAUACCCAGAAAUAGGCUGACUGGAUCAGAUGGUAGUUCUAUUUUUAGUUUUUUGAGGAAUCUCCAUUCUGUUUCCUUGGUAGCUGCACCAUUUUAAUUUCCCACCAACAGUGUACAAGGGUUCACAUUUUCCACAUUCUUUUCAACACUUGUUUUUUAUUAUUUUUUGAUAACAGCCACUCAAAGGUGUUAGGUGAUCACAGUCUCAUUGUGAUCUGGGUUUGCAUUUCCUGAUAAUUAAUGACGUUGAGCAACUUUUCUUACACUGGUUGACAAUGAAAGCAGACAACACUUACGUAUUCAUUUAAACUUUUAUACUCAUAUGUCUUUUUUGGAGAAAUGUCUGUUUCUCUGCCGGUCUUUAAAUUGGGUUUUUCUGGUUUGUUGUUGUUGUUGUUGUUGUUCUUUUUGC